Long non-coding RNA from Pezoporus flaviventris, 2548 nucleotides. RefSeq lists it as uncharacterized. The transcript has 2 exons. NCBI's taxonomy places the organism in Eukaryota, Metazoa, Chordata, Aves, Psittaciformes, Psittacidae. The record is from RefSeq and is a predicted model, not a curated record.
UCCAGCAGACUGACAGGCUGUUCUCUACUUGAUGUGGAGAGUGGAACACACAGAACUUUAAAUCUCUGCCUGUUUCAGUCUUUGGGGACAUUUUCAGGGAGUUUGGGUAGUUUGAUCUGCCUUCUACAUUGUGAAUAAUGUCACCAAUUGCUGCCUUCUCUGCAGCACCUAAAAAUCUUCCUCUUGAUAUAGUUUGCUCUUACAUCUAGUAUAUUUGCCUGCAUAUCUGACCUAGACACAGGAUAAGCAAAUUUAGGUAUUUAAUUUAAAUCUCUUCCCUUCCUCCAUGCUUGGCCUUCAGAAAAUGGUUUUGGUUUUGGGUUGUGUUUUUUUUGUGAAGGAAGGAAGGAAAAGCACUGAACUUCUGUUUACCUCAUUUUGUUUGAACAGAGCCCUGUGUGUUAACCCUCUGCCGCACAAUGAAACUCUGUACAGUGAAAAUUGGCUAAGUGGGUCCUUAUUCAGCGUCAUUCAUCACCAUGGCAUAGCCUCGUGCAUACAUGGCAGAUUUACAUCAGUGAAACUGAGGAAGGAAAACAAAAAGCCCAUGAUCUAAAAGAAGGCCUCAUGUUAUUUAUGAAGUGCCAGUAAUGUCCUGAGGACUAGAUGAAGAUCUAAUGAGCCUUGUUCUGCAAGGGUGCUGGUGGCAGGGUGACAUGCCACCGAACAAUGCAGCAAAGGGGGCAACAUGUUUGGCAACUUGGGGCUCCUUAAAGGCACUUUGUAGUGUGCAUUUUGCACACUAGGCUCUCCACUUCAGAGGAUGAGGAAUGCAUAUGGGAAGUUCAACAGUAAGUACAGACAGUAAAAUUAGUUAAAGGAAAGAGUGUUCCUAUUGUAUUUGCUUAUUUGAAGCCUCAGGACCUUCACGAGGCCAGGAAGCCACAGUGAUAGGUUCAGAUCCCACUUUGCUUAUUUUGUUCGAGCUAAAUAAAUGUCAACAAAUAUCAGAGGGGAUGCAGAGAUGAAUGCAGAAAUGUGCUUCUUGGAGUCUGUAACUCAUUCUCCUUGAGAGGCUCAAAUACAUACCUUCCCUUGUGUGUCUGCUGUAUUUCAGUGAGGGACCAGCAGCAGCUCCAAAGUUGUUACCCAGGAGCCCAAACCCGUAAGCCAGGCUCAGCCCAGCUUCAUCAGGAGCAUCCUUAGGAUGCUGCUGGGCUGGGAGCAGGGUAUGUGGUGUCAGCUGGUACCUGCUGCUCAUUCUCAAAUGAGCAAAGGUUUUUGAUAGCAGUGGCAGUGCUUGCUCAACAGCCAGCGGCCAGGCCAUGAGGAAGCCUUCUCUCACUCUCUGUACCCUGGUGGUUUGUGUUAAAGGAGAAAUUGCAUCUCUUGGCCCUGGGUGAGAUGAGAGUUAUUCUGGUUUCCGAGGCGUUGCUUUUUGGUGAGUGUCUCCAGCUGCUGCACUCCCCUUCACUCAGGGCACUGACUCAUGCUUUUUGCCAUCACAAUAAGUCUGUUUUCAUAAACAAAAUUAAGUGCACUGUGUUUAUUCAUUAGGGAGAGUUGAAGUCUCUCAGCAACCAAGAAAUAUGCUUUGUUGGAUGAACUCCUCUCCCUCUUCCACCCUCCUGUCUUCUACCAGCUAAGGGAAAAAAGAGAUCUGGGACAAUACCGGCCUGAUGCUAUCAGCGUGUUGAUCCUGGCCUGCUGAUGUGCAGCAUGACAACUGAGGAGACAGUAUUGACUCUUCAGCUGGGUUUGUACAUCUCAGAGACUCAGUUUUCCAGAGAGGGAUAUUUAAAAUUGCACAAAAGUGAACAGGAAAAAAAAGGGACAGGUUCAUGAACUAGGCUUUAAGCAGCACUCCAGGUAAACACAGCACAGAUGAGGGGUCUGCUUGACAGAAAGAGAAGUUUGUCUGGCAUGUGGAUGGCUCUGUGCCUGUGGCUCCUUCUGGUUUUGGGUAGGACUGGGCAUGGGCAUGGGCAGAGCCAAGCAUGGAAGUUUGUCUGAUGCCCCUGUGCUAGAGUCCUUGAGGCGUUGCUGCUGCUGUCCCUGUUGUGUCAUCUCACCCCCAGCCUCCUCUCUCCUUCUCACAGUGGGAACACAGCUGCACCCAGCCCCUUAUCCUCUGUGGGACAAAUUCAAUUUGCCUACAGCGCUGAUGGGUUUUAAGCUGGAUCUGCACCAAGAGCACCAGAUACCCUGUGCCAACAGCAACAACGUUCACAUGAUCCGUGGUUUCCAUGCCAGACAAUUCUAUGGGACUUGAGUGCGGCAGUUGCUUACCUUCCAGCGAGCCAGCAGCCAGUCUUCAUCAGGGGUCAUUCCUUGGUAAGAAAUGCAGGCACUCACCUCAAACUUCAUGAAUCUGAGGGAGUGGAGCAUGGGCAUUGAUCUGGAAUCAGACUUCUGAUAACUGGAAUUUGUCCCCAGUUAUUACUGCAGUUGCUGGAGCUGGGACACUGGGUAAGUCCAUUCCCCAUGCCCCAGUUUCACCAUCUGUCCAAACAAGGUCAUAAUAUUUCCCUGAGAAAUUAGUGCUGUGGGGCUGAAAAACCACUGGGUAAACCCAAGGAAUUUUGUAAUCUUAAAAUGUUUAAAUUUU